AAGUCGUAACAAGGUUUCCGUAGGUGAACCUGCGGAAGGAUCAUUAACACGUUUGUUAAACCAAACGUACCAAAACUCUGUGAACAGAGAUUGUGUAAACAAUCUCGCCCCCCUUUUUUUCAACUACAUCACAAACCCCAAAAAAACAAUUGAACAGGGUUUUCCCUGUUUAAUUGUCUUGUAACUAAAUUUUACUUAUUCUUUUAAGCCGUAACAAGCUUAUCAGAAACAAAAAGAUGUCUCUUUUUGAGACUUAAUCUUUUUAUGAACCAAACGUUGUACAACUCUUAGCAACGGAUAUCUUGGUUCCC
This 311-nucleotide unclassified non-coding RNA is filed under the name fungal sp. RNAcentral describes it as "partial internal transcribed spacer region". The stretch from base 1 to 46 matches the Rfam family "Eukaryotic small subunit ribosomal RNA", at positions 1786 to 1831 of the family's 1831-position model. The record is from RNAcentral. Lineage: Eukaryota; Fungi.